RNA transcript from Molossus molossus (Pallas's mastiff bat), 954 nucleotides. It is a transcript of the gene named phospholipase A and acyltransferase 3, with no coding region annotated. NCBI's taxonomy places the organism in Eukaryota, Metazoa, Chordata, Mammalia, Chiroptera, Molossidae. The record is from RefSeq and is a predicted model, not a curated record. The transcript has 7 exons.
CGGAGGCUGGAGCAGGGUUCCCGGUGGCCGGGCAGGAAGCUCUGCGAGGCUCUCAGUUACACUGGGAGGGGCCGGCUGACCUCACUCUGGUCGGACCGGCGGCCUUUAAACCCGGUGCCUUUGCCGCUGCGGCCGUGCUGCCCCCCGAGUCUGCGAGGCGCUUACGCAGCUGAUAAAGCAAACUCCAGCCUGAAAUUGAGGGUCCACAGCAGGAAAGAAGAUGCGGGCGCCCAUUCCAGAGCCCAAUCCUGGAGACCUGAUUGAGAUUUUCCGCCCCUUCUACAGACACUGGGCCAUCUACGUUGGUGAUGGAUAUGUGGUCCACCUGGCCCCCCCAAGUGAAAUCGCGGGGGCUGGCGCGGCCAGCCUCAUGUCCGCCCUGACCGACAAGGCCAUAGUGAAGAAGGAGCUGCUCUAUUAUGUGGCCGGGAGAGACAAGUACCAUGUCAAUAACAAACAUGACGACAAGUACGAACCGCUGCCUCCCAGCAAAAUCGUCCAGCGGGCGGAGGAGCUGGUGGGGCAGGAGAUGCUCUACAAGCUGACCAGCGAGAACUGUGAGCACUUUGUGAACGAGCUGCGCUACGGAGUCCCCCGCAGUGACCAGAUGGAGAAACCGAGGCUCACAACACUAAAGUAACUUGUCAAUGUCCUGGUACUUGUGAUUUCCUGGGAGUCUACAACCGAGCGAAGUAGCAGUGGUGGGAUUUGAAGCUCAGGUCUGUUUGAAAAGCACUGUCCUCAGCCAUGCAGCAACCCAAGGGAGCUUUAUCUUCAGCGCUCUGAGGUUUCACUGUGAAGUGCCUGUGUGGAUCUAUGCUUAUGUACUGAGUGGGCACUUGACGACUCCUUUCUCUCUGGAACCCCCAUUCCUGCAGGUGAAAUCGCGGGGGCUGGUGCGGCCAGCCUCAUGUCCGCCCUGACUGACAAGGCCAUAGUGAAGAGGGAGCUGCU